UACGGGGGGAGCAAGCGUUGUUCGGAUUUACUGGGCGUAAAGGGCGCGUAGGCGGCCACCGCAAGUCGGUUGUGAAAUCUCCGGGCUUAACCCGGAAAGGUCAAUCGGUACUGCGGGGCUAGAGUGCAGAAGGGGCAACUGGAAUUCUCGGUGUAGCGGUGAAAUGCGUAGAUAUCGAGAGGAACACCUGCGGCGAAGGCGGGUUGCUGGGCUGACACUGACGCUGAAGCGCGAAAGCUAGGGGAGCGAACGGG
RNAcentral lists this ribosomal RNA (254 nucleotides) under uncultured bacterium. RNAcentral describes it as "partial 16S ribosomal RNA". It matches the Rfam family "Bacterial small subunit ribosomal RNA", at positions 524 to 776 of the family's 1533-position model. The record is from RNAcentral.